Long non-coding RNA from Pogonomyrmex barbatus (red harvester ant), 751 nucleotides. Lineage: Eukaryota; Metazoa; Arthropoda; Insecta; Hymenoptera; Formicidae. The record is from RefSeq and is a predicted model, not a curated record.
UUUGUAUUUGUGAAUAAUCUCCAAAUAUUAUAUUAUCUAAUAUAAUGAAACUUUCUAUAUUAUAUUGAACCAACAGUUCGCAUCUGGUAACAGCUCCAUUGUCUCUGGAUAAAGGCUGCAUUUCGUUGGGCGUGAACGAAGAGUCUAUUGUGGCUAGAUCGACGCGUUGCUACGUAACGAUUAUGUGUGCUCAAGCGGAGGACUAUACAAUAGCGUUGUGGAAAAGGAAGCAUUCCGCUGCCAAUCACUGUUUGCUCAAUGGGGUGAUAUAAAUCGCACGCGUAACGACGAACUGCAGAACUGCUGGACUAAUUGCUGAGACCCGGAGGAGAGUUUUUAUAUCAAUGAAAAUACGACAAUGAGCAAUCGACUGAUAGCCAUAAAAUGCACAAUCUUUAUACAUAAUCGGUAUGCGCCUACAAGCUGAUAUAAAAGAAAAAUAUACUUUUCGAAAACAUGCAUACAAAAAAGUCGCUCGCGUUUUGCUACUAGAAAUAAAGAGUUCUUGAAAAAGUCAAUAAUAUACAAUUCAUCGCAAAAAUGCUUUUUGAAUAUGUUCAUGGUCUGCAAUGUAUAUCACUUAAGAUAUGCAGCCGUUCCUAUACUGACGUGAUACAAUACAUAAGCGUAUUAUGGGAAUGCACAAUGUAUUCGCUAUUAUUCGACAUCGUGCAAAUCGAUUAAUUCAUGCAAACCAUCAUAACAAAAAUCUGUAUUUUCUAUCACUUUAGAUAAAAUGUGCUUCAAAAUU